This is an RNA transcript of Nematostella vectensis (starlet sea anemone), 1771 nucleotides long. It is a transcript of the gene named antileukoproteinase-like, with no coding region annotated. NCBI's taxonomy places the organism in Eukaryota, Metazoa, Cnidaria, Anthozoa, Actiniaria, Edwardsiidae. The record is from RefSeq and is a predicted model, not a curated record. The transcript has 4 exons.
ACUCGAGUUCAUUGAGGCGCCAGCCUGAUAUAUCUGUAAACACAUACAAUGAUGGCUUUGUAAGCACAGCUAUAUAUUUAGCGGUUUGGAAUCACGUGAAGACCGCUAUCUUUUGUCCGUUGUAUACUGUCAUGGCAAUCAGCGGCGGAUUUAACGUCUAGUAUCGCCUCUGCAGUCUAGUAGGCCAGUCUGUGUCUUGCAGCGAAGCCGAGAGGAUCCACACUUAGGCGUGGCGGAGAGAAAACGAGCGCGCAUAUCAUGGCAUCGUUUCUCUCGGUCUUCGUGCUCCUUUUGGCGGUAGCGAAAGUUUCAGGACAAAAUCCCGUAGGGGGUAUAUGUCCGAGCUUUCCCGUCCCAGAGGAAUGUCCCCCGGAACCUGACAACCAAUGCGAGAAUGAUAACCAGUGCUCUCAACAGUUCCCUGGGCUGGGACUCAAGUGUUGCAAGGACGGUUGCGACCUUCGCUGCGUGCCACCAAUCCCCCCACCGACACCAGAACCGCAAAGGGUAUCGUAUAACACACGCAUAUCCACCACAAUUACAAUCUAACCCUAACCAUAAUGCAUCACUGUAAUCUAACUUCGUGAUAACAUUGCCUACCCCGUCAACCAAUCACGUGCCCUCGCCAUUUGCUGCACGAGUUGGGCCUGGGACCGGGGGUUCUUGGUUUGUGACGAAAAACACGUGUAAAUGCCUGCAUGCGAAGGAUUAAUAAUUACCUCACAUGUCGCCUAUGCCUCUGGAAAAAUUACUCUUACAAUUGUUGCAUCCAGCCAACAAUUGUUUGAUGGAAAAUCCUAGCAAAAUCCUUCUGUUCAGUAGAACAGUUAUGCCCUCUCUCCUAGUACUUCUAUUCAUGGAUGAAUAAAGGUGCAACUCGGGUUGGGAACAUGGAUAUUUAGAGCUGCCAAAAUAAGAAUACAAACACAACCAUGGCAAGGGUAAGUAUAGGGACAUGGUGAGUAUGGAGGUGAUGAUGGCAGCAGCGAAAGAGGAUGCGAUGAUGGGGGCAUUAACGAAAGAAGAUGUUAUGAUCAAGACAGCAAUCGCUGAGAUGUUCAAGGACUCGCUCGUGGACACAGGGAUACCAUAUCUGAUAAAACGAUAACGCCUAAUCAUGCAGGCGCCGUGACGUAACGAGUAGUCGGAGGAGUUUGAGUGGCACACCUUUAUCUACGAGACGACGAUAGUGCUCCGACUAACUUGGACAAAACGUCUCAUCUACGCACGAGACAUUUCUACGAGACUAAGUGGUACAGUCUAAACCAUACAAGCUACGGCUCGACCAGGCACGAAGUAGCUAGAUUAGUAGUUAGUAGUUAGAUUGUUCCUUACUGGAACUUCGUCACAAUGUGCGCUUUGAUAAAUUGAAAUCUCUUUAUAACUGUUUGUUAUCUACGAGUGCCCGGAGUAGCUUGAAUAACAAAACUUAUCUAUGCGCUACCUGCUGAAAGCUGUUAACCACCGAUUAUCCGCUGGGUUGUUGUUAGUUUUUUUUUUUCAUCAAAAACACGUAGGUAAACCAAGAUGUUUUUCUCUCUCCUUUUCACCAUUUGCAAAGAGCGAUGAAUACAAACAGCACUUCCUUAUGAAAAAAGGCGAAUAAGAAAGUAACCAACACUUCCGAUAGCAGAAACCGUAAUUGUCCACGUACCAAGCAAGGUAUUUCGUUUUAUCCCUAGAUAAAAUUGCCUUUUUACAACGUACAGACAGUACAAAUCCUCACAGAGCCAUAUAUCAAGUCUCAAUGAUAAAAUGUUUUGGCAAGUUU